GACGAACGCUGGCGGCGUGCUUAACACAUGCAAGUCGAGCGGAAAGGCCCUUCGGGGUACUCGAGCGGCGAACGGGUGAGUAACACGUGAGUAACCUGCCCUAGGCUUUGGGAUAACCCUCGGAAACGGGGGCUAAUACUGGAUAUUCCCGCGGGAUCGCAUGGUUUUGUGGGGAAAGGUUUUCCGGCUUGGGAUGGGCUCGCGGCCUAUCAGCUUGUUGGUGGGGUGAUGGCCUACCAAGGCGACGACGGGUAGCCGGCCUGAGAGGGCGACCGGCCACACUGGGACUGAGACACGGCCCAGACUCCUACGGGAGGCAGCAGUGGGGAAUAUUGCACAAUGGGCGGAAGCCUGAUGCAGCGACGCCGCGUGAGGGAUGACGGCCUUCGGGUUGUAAACCUCUUUCAGCCCUGACGAAGCGCAAGUGACGGUAGGGGCAGAAGAAGCGCCGGCCAACUACGUGCCAGCAGCCGCCGUAACAC
RNAcentral lists this ribosomal RNA (482 nucleotides) under uncultured bacterium. Its description in RNAcentral is "bacterial SSU rRNA". It matches the Rfam family "Bacterial small subunit ribosomal RNA", at positions 28 to 526 of the family's 1533-position model. The record is from RNAcentral.